Molecule: small nuclear RNA, 155 nt
Organism: Struthio camelus australis
Lineage: Eukaryota; Metazoa; Chordata; Aves; Struthioniformes; Struthionidae
Gene: U1
Rfam family: U1 spliceosomal RNA
About the family: U1 is a small nuclear RNA (snRNA) component of the spliceosome (involved in pre-mRNA splicing).
Source: Ensembl
CCUGUUACCUGGCAGGGAAGACACCUUGAUUAGGUAGGUGGUUUUCCCAGGGCGAGGCUCAUCCCUUGCACUCUGGGUGUGCUGACCCUUGCAAUUUCCCCGAAUGCAGGAAACUUGACUGCAUAAUUUGUGGCUUUAAGAAAUUUUUUUUUUUC